Molecule: non-coding RNA, 96 nt
Organism: Mycena capillaripes
Lineage: Eukaryota; Fungi; Basidiomycota; Agaricomycetes; Agaricales; Mycenaceae
Source: the annotation of a GenBank genome assembly
GACUCGGUAGCGGACGGUCCGCAUCCCCGAUUAAUUUGGCUUUAAUUUCGAAAGAAGUUCAGAGGAAGGUUGCCUGUUCAACUCAGGCCCGAGUCA